UAAUUUUUCAAUAAUAUUGUUACAACUGACUUACUUAUAAAACAUUGUAUAAAUUCCGUUGUUUCAGAACGAUUCCUAAAGUCUUUGAUGAUAUCUGCCUGGAGCUGCUUUGGAACAUGCAUCUUUUAAAAUUUCUGACGUCUUUGAUUUUAGCUAUGUUUUUAGCUCUUACUUUAUCCACUUGUGGUGCCAAUGGUGGUAUUUUCCAAGAAGACAUGGUGAAGAAUGGGCGUGUUAUGCAAAUGGAAAGGGCUGCUGCAAAUUGGGCUGAUUGGGCUAGAAAGGAAAUGGAGUCUGUAAAAACUUCUGCAAAAGCCAAGGCGGAAGCAAAGAAAUGAAUGAAGAAUGUUACAAAACUGCAAUAUUUUUUUCCAAGACAAAUUUUAUGAAUAAAUUUUAUUUCCUUCGUAA
Non-coding RNA from Parasteatoda tepidariorum (common house spider), 411 nucleotides. NCBI's taxonomy places the organism in Eukaryota, Metazoa, Arthropoda, Arachnida, Araneae, Theridiidae. The record is from RefSeq and is a predicted model, not a curated record.